Long non-coding RNA from Mesocricetus auratus (golden hamster), 2038 nucleotides. RefSeq lists it as uncharacterized. The transcript has 3 exons. NCBI's taxonomy places the organism in Eukaryota, Metazoa, Chordata, Mammalia, Rodentia, Cricetidae. The record is from RefSeq and is a predicted model, not a curated record.
AACAAACAGUGAGGUCCCUGCACAAAGGGCUCAAAAUCUCACAGAUGUAACAAACCCGACUUUCGGGGUGACAGCAACUCUGAAGACAAUCUGUCUCCGUUCACUCUGUUGCCUGCAUCAACUACGCUUCCCUCUGCCAACCGUGUUUGGAAUGCGCUGUUUUCUAACAGUCCUCGGAGUGGAGACCCCUCCACCCUGCUUCCCUUUAGGACUAACCUAUCGGAAAACAAUUGCAAUUGGUACCCUCGCAGUCACAGCGUCAAAGAAGAGUAAUGGAUACACUGGACGGAACCGUUUUCAGGCAUAAAAAGUGAAUGCAGCUGGAAACACUCAUAUCACAGGAAUUAUGCCAGUCUCAGGAACACAACUGUCUACCCGUCAGAGGAGGACGUUGAGUCCUGCAAUCACAAGCCACGCCCACACACACAGGAAUCGCCUGUAUGUCCGCUGCCUGACUCUGCAGAUGAAGCCACGCUCGCCUUCCUGAGCGCACAAGCCCGAAGCGCGUGCAUCCCACGCGCCCCGCCGACAAGUGACUCACCUUGGAAGCUGUCGGAAGUCUCCCGAGUACUCUUCAUAUUUAUAGGUCACAAGAUGCCAGUCAGAGUUGUAGGUUUUGAUGCACUGUCGGGAGCGGGGUGGGGUUAGAAAAAAAAAAGACAAAAACGUAGAAAGUCAGGUGACUAGAGAUACAAAGUUCUGUCGUCAAUCAUCUACUGCCAAAAUUCUACUUGCAGAGCCUCUGAGCCAGUGAAACACGACCCUCGGGAAAGAUACCCUUUCAAGUGAUCAAUAUUAAUGAUCUGACAAAAGCUUUUAUAUGGUGACAUUGAAAUAUCAAUUACUAUCCCUGGCUUAUAACCAUUAGUUUUUUAUAAACAACAACAAAAACCCACCAAAGUGAUGUUGCUACGGGGGUUUGAACAGGAACUGCCCCUGGAGGCUCUUACAUAUCAAUGUUUGAUUCCCAGUUGGUAGAACUGUUUGGGAAGGAUCAGGAGGUGUGGUCUUGUUAGAGGGUGUGGCCUUAUUGGAGGAGGUGUGUCACCAGAAGGAGUAGAGCUUUGAGGUUUCAAAAGCCUGUACCAUUCCUAAAGUCUCUCACUCAGGCUUGUGCUUGUGAGUGAAGAUGUGCAUUCCCAGUUGCUGCCUCAGGAGCGUGUCUGCCCGCCACAACAGCCAUGGACUCCCCCUCUGAAAUGCAAGCCACCAGCAAACUCUUCCAUAAGCUACCUUGGCCACGGUGUCUCGCCACAACAAUGGAAAAGUUGCUAAGACAGUUGCACUUAUUUAUUUGUGUGUGGGGAAGGCAUGUGACGGGCCCUCGCAGGCCUGGACUUGGCAAGCAUGGCGGCGCAGGUGGGCCUUGACCCUCCCUAUUUCCUCUUCCUUACAAACCAUAGAUUGUACCCCUAAAGCUAGCCACUGAGGUCUAUUCCUCAUUGGCCAGACUCAUUUCCCAGGCUGACUACCGAAGUCCAGCAACCAGAAGCUCCCUUCGGCUAACCUAAUUAACCUGUGUUGUGGGAGGAUGGCCUUUGUGUACACUGUGAAGGUGUGUCGCUCUGACCAGCUUCAUAAAAAACUGAACGGCCAAUAGCUAGGUGGCGGGAUUUCAGGACAUGGAGGAUGCUGGGAAGAAGAUAGUGGAGACGCCAGGAGACACAGAGCAAUUGGGAUGGGGGCUAAGGAAAUGAGGUAAUAAAGUCACAAGGCAGAAAGAAAAUGAAUGGAAAUGGGUUAAGUUAUAAAAUCUAGUGAGAAACAAGCCUAAGCUAUCGGCCAAGCUUUCAUCAUUUAUAAUAAGUUUCUAUGUUUUGUUUUGUUUUUGCGAGCUGGUGGCCCAAAGAAAAAUUCGUUUAGGAACAUGUCCAGUCAAAAUACAUACCAUUGCAUCCUAGCCCACUCUAACAGAAGCCUCCCUCCCGUUCUCUUCUUUAAAAUCAUACACGCAAGGUCAUUUGCUGCUGUUUUCCUGAGUCAGAAAGCAGCUACUCCUCUUCCCUGCUGAAUAAAUGAUCUCUCUGUGUAAUAGGCA